UAAGAACUUAGAAUGCUGUCCUGAAGGAAUGAUUAUGAAAUCACCCCCUGCCUUCCACCUCUCACCCGGUCUUACAGGAUUUCUGCGUUAUUCAAAUGGGCGUACUAAAAUAAUGUGAAUACAAUGUGGGCUCCGAAGCGCUGAAGGGGAGGGUUAAUGAAACUGCUAAUAUAGAAAGCAAACGUGGGACCAGCUGCUCCAGAGUGCACGUGAAACCAUUUUCCCUCACAAGGAGCAGAAGCUUUGGGACAUAAGCAAACAGCGAUGUGGGUCCUUAGACCUCAAGAGGUUAAGUGGAGAGCUGGAGAAGGCUGGAAAAAAGAUACCAAAGCACCUGCUACUGGUGCCAUUAUUAUGGACGAAUAUGAGAUAAAGAGAUGGAAACAACGGGGUAUGCAGUAGAAAGAUGGACCAGAAAGCAGAGCCAAGAGGUAUUGGCCAGCUGUUCUGCUACUCUACAGAGUACUGGGCUGAAGAAAAAUGAUCUCAACAGACUGGAGGUAUCAAUGAAAUGUAACCCAAUAAAGCUUGAUUCUGAGGGGAGAGAAUGAAGGUCCUGUCUCCUUAAUAAGCAACAAAAAAUGGAAAGUUUCUGCAUUAAUUCUUCUCCUCGAAUGAUCCCUCAAGAAGAAAACUUGCCUCCCAGAAGU
RNAcentral lists this small RNA (650 nucleotides) under Rattus norvegicus (Norway rat). RNAcentral describes it as "uncharacterized LOC102552656". The record is from RNAcentral. Lineage: Eukaryota; Metazoa; Chordata; Mammalia; Rodentia; Muridae.